Long non-coding RNA from Ornithodoros turicata, 5758 nucleotides. RefSeq lists it as uncharacterized. The transcript has 2 exons. NCBI's taxonomy places the organism in Eukaryota, Metazoa, Arthropoda, Arachnida, Ixodida, Argasidae. The record is from RefSeq and is a predicted model, not a curated record.
UUCAGCUCCAGCGUCGUAAUUUACCACACCUCAAUCCUCAAUUUCGAGUUUCUUUACUGUACAGUGUAAACUGUCCUUGCGAAAAUUUACACACACUGCAUGUGCCCUGGUUGUUCCUAACCUGUAUGCUAUCCAAGGAGUAAGAGCAUGUGGACACACAGUGCUUUGGAAGAGUGUCAUAGUCCACUUCGUAGAAAUCAAUGGUUUGCUCGAACCGGGAUGCAACUUUUUCAAAGUGUGCUUACAUAGGUGCUCUAUAUUCACAGCCGUGCUGUGUUCGUAAGCUCUACUGUCUUGAAGUAUAAUGUAAACGUCAAAGCUCGAGCAGUAGUUAUUGUACUGUUGCUAGGAUACGGACUUACAAGUUCUUUGGUGGUCACGUGCUAUGUGCAUCGCCAUUUGCAAUCGAGCGAUAUAAACUGCUAUUCUCAAGAUAGGCUUUAUUUCUGAUGAAAUUCUGGAACUGCUUACCGUGACUCCGUUCGCCUCGAUAGGUGUUACGCGAGCUUGCAUUGUAAAGAUUUACUUCGUGAGCCCAGUAGCCGGCACCUCACUGUUUUCAGAACGCAGUGCCGUUCCUCUCGCGUCGUCACCAGCGCAUUUUCCUCUUCUUUUAAUUUCCAUUGCGUUUUACUGUAUACUGCACAGCAUAGCAUGCUUACAGUAAAGUUUAGUUCACCCCAGACGUUCUCCAACCUUUCACGCGAACCACCGCAGGCGAUUGCCUCGCUGCUUCUCCGCUGCUCUGCCGCAAAAGAGGAAUUUCAAGCGAAUGUUAUUUGCAGCUCGCCUGUACCCACAAGGCGUGAUUCGCGUUUUGGGCCGGCAUGAAGUGUGUUUGCCGACGUGUGUGAGAAAUUUAGAUAGAUUUGCUUUCCUUUUUUCUAUUGAUGGUUAUAACAAUGCACAUUGUUCUCAAAGAAACCGACAUGUGUAAAUUUGGUGGCAAAGGGCUUAUUAUUCACCACUUGAAGCGGGGUGUUAUUUUCUUAUGCGCUCGCAGCUGUGUGCUGUGUAGCGUCCCGCCCGUCGUCCCGCAAAGGACAAAAACAAGAGCAGCAGCCGGAAAGUCGGAGCAGAGCAGAAGGCAGAAGUGGCUGGAGUGAGUGUGAUUACUGUUCCUAGGACACAUUAGUUUCGGAAAACGUUACGGAAAACGUACCGGAGGGACAGAUGGAACAAAGAUGGACAAACACUGGCAAACAAAUGGGUAAAGUUAGGGUGCAGGUUCUUAUCUCAACAUACUCUGUGCCCUUUUCUAGGUUUUGUCAUCUAAAAGGAAUCGCAGAGCACUCGCUGUGGUGGAGUGCACUGCUAUAGUGCACUGACUAAAAAGACUCAAGUACUCUGAGAUGCUUCGCUUACAUUGCCGAGCUCUAAAGAGGUAUGAUGAGAUAUGAAAGGUGACCGAUAACCAUUGGUCACUGCAGUGCCUCGAUCAUAGUAGGAAAAGAGGCUGCUCUUCGUUAGACUUUCACUGCUGCGUCCAAGCGCUAAGCAUGUACGUCCACUCCUGUUCAGGCCCCUACAUGGGAGCUCUCAGUAUAUCUGAAAAAAAAAAAAUUAAACGUAAUUGUCAUAUGUAGAAUACAGAUCAGUAAAUGCAAUCGUUACCUUGCAACUGUUACAGCAUGAUCUUGGAGAAUAUUGAAGCUGUACGACAACAUUAACUGAUAUGACCAAGGUACUAGGCCAAUUAUUGUUGCGACUGGUUAAAUCUAAUCGUGGAAACAUGUUGUCUAUCACAUUUUCUCACUUGUGCUUGAGACACACCUGUCAAUUAGCCACCUCAGCAUUUUUUACUGCUUCUCCAAGCCCUAUUGCUGGGUGAUAAUUCUCUUGAACUUUUUGUAAGUGUGUGCAACCUUAUUCACGAUAUUGGUUGUCUGAAGGUUACAUUACACGCAUUCCUUUGAGGCAUUUUAUGCAUGCCAUUGUGUACAUGUAAUCCACCGAAAGCAUUUCAGAUUUUUUACAUUAUAUAUUACAUGAUAUGAAUUGAAAGCAGGACUGAGAGGGCAAGCCCAAGUAUAAAUAAAGAGUGAAGAAAAGAAAGGUGAUUGCUGCUCUUGUCACAACCUUUUCCUUUUUUUUUUUUUUUUUUGACAGGUGACAGGUUUUUCUUUUAGAUUGUAACUGCAAUUUCAUAUCACAUGUAUUGAAACCAUUUUGGAACUGGGUAUAGCUUUUCUGAAUCAGUUUGCACUGGUAUAAGUGACCACUGGAUCACUUAUUAUCUUCAUCAGUCAUCUUCAUCAACAGUAACAUGUCACUAUUUAGCCCCAAAAGUGAAAGCAUUUUGAAGUUGAAGGAACAUGUAGUUGAAACUGGCCACAACACCAUCUUGUAGUGGCUUGCAGACCGCAAGCAUCGUAUUCAAGCACAAUGAGGCGUGCACAUAGAAUGGAGUGGAGUGCACCUCAGACAUAUUCUGCUUGUGGUACAGCUUGGGGCAAAAGUGUACAGAACACCGGGUUGUCGCAUUUCUCCAUUGGAGCGACACCCUAUAGCAGCAAACAAGAGUGGACACACAUACUGAGAGAUGGAUGAAAUAGCCUGUGACUCCUCUCUUAUUCGAUCUCUUUCUGAGAGCCAGCGGGGGCCCACUCCGAUGAAAAAAUAUGCCAGUGCCGUGUUUUGUAAACUUCUGUCCCAAGCUGUACAUACACUACUUAAAGGCAGGAAGGCUCGUGUGAUCUUUUCCUUGAGAAUGAGUCACUGCUUUACGAAGUAGAUGCUGGUAGCGCAAAUCAUAAUGACAAAUGACAUCACAAUGAGAAAUCGCAGACGUGCAAAGAUGUUCGUGAUCUCCCAAGCUACUGUGCAUUGUAUAUUGUGAAAAAGAGAGGGAAUGUGGAAAACACUAUCUUGGGGGUGAAUUAACAUGAAACAGUAAAGACAAAGGGACAUCCAGGACUAAAUUUGAGCUACAAAAUGUGUCCGUGUGUAAACUUUUCAAUGAAUGUCAACUGGUUGUGCUUGCAAAGCAUUCGUAGGUCAGAUGUCACAGAAGUCAUGUCAGAUGCCAUGUUAAGCACUGGUGUAGUGAAGAUUCUGACGUAGUAGUGAUGUUUUUUGGUGGUUUGACCAACAAUCAACAUAAGGAGGUGUGACCGUAACCACAUUGCUCCCUCAGCUUUGACUGAAUGUGUCCUACAGUGGACAACUACCGAACAUCAGGGCUGUCAAGUAACUGAGUAAAAGUAUCUGAGCACCUGUAUCUAGAUACAGGUGCAUUUUCAUGUGCAUACUUUGUAUCUGUAACUAGUUACUUUUUUUAAAUAUACUUUUAUAUCCUCUUUUUGAGUGUUUUCCUAGAUACUUACAAAAAAAAAAAAAAAAAUGCUAACCAACAAUCUAUAUGAACAUGUGGCGCAGCAUCUGGUGGAGUUCUUCCGGGAGGUUGCCUGGGUGCGAACCCUGGAACCGGCUAUGCUGCCUGGUAUUUACCCUGGGAUUUUGGUGUAAGGCAACUGUAGGCACAGUUUCCUAUGAAGUCAGCCAUGUAUGCAUAGUCUCUCACAACCAACAUGGUCAUAUUGUCACACACAUUGUGUGGCAAUAAACGCCACCAACCAACCCAUGUCACCUGAUAUCCUGCUAUCUUAUGUUGGCAGCACUCAUGGUGCAUAAAUGCGAGGGACAUACAGGGGCUGCGGAUGCUAAUUGUAGAGGCACAAAGCUUAAACGAAGUUAACAUGGUGUGCAAGCUUACACACUAGUAUUACUAAACAUCAUGGACUGGGGGUUGGGUGGAAGCUGAAGUUCACAGGUUUUCAGUGUCAUUGUUUACUUUAGUGUUUAUCUACUCAUUGUUUUGGUGGUAAAAUAUUGCCACCAUUAGUCACUGAGAUGGUGUAGCAUAUUUAGAAAUUUUUAUAACCAUUCAUAUGCAAAUAAGAAAUAUGUUAUUCAAUACACCUGCUGGCCAGAUGUUUCUCAUUUACUUCAAUUUUCGAGGAGACUGAGGAAAGCGUCUUUAAAAGUAUGCGAGUACUGUUUAUAAAGCAACUAAAUCAGCAUAUUUUUUUUCGAUGGGAUAUCUGUAAUUGCAACUUCGAUAUAGUUUUGGCACCUGUAACUCAGUAUGUAUACCUGUAACUCAGGUACAUUUUAAAACUAACAAACAAUCCUGCAAAACACAGUGUUUCAGCAUACAACACAAGAACUGAGAACCAGCGAACCGCACUGAACUAAAAACUAAUAUUAAUUGACAGAAGUGCGAUACGUAUCGAGCCAACAAACCUUAUCGUAGGAAUUUUUCACAUAGGUAACCCCUGGUAAUCACUGUUAACCCUUCAAUGUGCUCAGCUGUUACCAGCGAUAUAUAUAUAUUUUUUGUCCAAUACCAGAUAUACACAUCGGCAGCUCCUGCACAAAUCCUUACCUCGAGACAAAGCGAGGUUUAGCAAUGUCCCACUCCACUUUCCGUUUUGACGGCAAACCUUCACCAAUGUUUAGCAGUGGGUGACAACCACAUCCCUUGUAGCAUACAAAGAGGUGACCCCAUGGUGUGCAUUGAGGUAAUGUGGCAUGCUCUCGUAGCCUGAUAUUGAGCUUGGCACUGUUAGAACUAAUACUGAAGUAUCAUCUGGUACGUAUGCCCUUUACAAACGUGUUCACAGCUAAAAGAAAUAUUGUAUACCGGUGCUUCCCAAAACCUGCAACCCAUUAAAAACAAAAUACCUAUAGUGUACCACCCCCGCCCUUUCUCAAUGCCACAAGCUUUUCGAUUUAAGUGCGUGACCUGUAAUACACAAAAUUGACGCUUAAGUCAGAGUGAAUCCGCUGGGCAGCAAACAAUCCCAAAAACUUAAAAAAAGAAAAGCAAGCACACACACACACACAUGCCAGCUGGAAUGCCUGUUCCUUUGACUAGAGUGAGCUUGUUGGUUAGAGCACAGUUUGUCAAAACGAGAGUCGAUUUUGAUCACAGCAACUCUCAGUUGUUUCGGCUCCAUGUUCAGCUGCAACUUGUACUGCUUGUACUGCAACUUCUACUUGAGGCAAAAGGAAGAAGGACCUUAUGACCUCAGUAUUGAAGAGUGCAUACUUUUCUGCUAACCCUGUCCAUAAUUCAAGGAACUGUUCAGCAGAACUUCGGCAGAAACCGUUGCUAUUCCCUUUUUCAAGUUCCCGAGCCGCCUGGAAACAUCACGGUUUGUACCAAGUCAGUAAAGUUAGUCAGAGUAAUAGAGCCAAAUUUCUCCCCAAAUUUAGCAUACUAGAAGUUUUUCCACCCGAAUAGACCUCUACCUGUUUACAAACAAAUGACGUCAGAUGAUACAGCAGCACCACCAACUUGGUAGACUGGAACUACUACGUCAAAAAAUCAACAAGUCACAAUAAGUCAUAUAACUCAAUAGAAGUCAUAUUGUAAGAUUUUUUAAAAAUUCCUUACAUAUUAUUAGUUGUAUGGCCUUGACAGAAUGGCGUAAAUGCAGGCUAGCUGGUGGAGAAAUUCCUUAGUGUUUGUGUUUGUUUACGUGUCUUGCCCAUCGCUCAGGCUUGCCUAUCAUGGCAUUGUAUGGCCUUGUUCUGGUACAUUCUACCGGUGACCCGUAGCCCUAUUCUUUUCAGUAGCCCUUUCUAAAGAUGACUCUCGGGCUCUUCCAUCUUCUGGAGCAACAAACCACAUUCUGCACAGGAUUACGACAUUGACUUUCCGACGAUGCAACCCUUAGGGUGAAGCCUUUCCUUUCCGCGCUGGACUGGGAACGCGAAUGAAGACACAAAAGCGAAUAAAAAUGUGACCUCA